CCUACGGGAGGCAGCAGUCGAGAAUCAUUCACAAUGGGGGAAACCCUGAUGGUGCGACGCCGCGUGGGGGAAUGAAGGUCUUCGGAUUGUAAACCCCUGUCAUGUGGGAGCAAAUUAAAAAGAUAGUACCACAAGAGGAAGAGACGGCUAACUCUGUGCCAGCAGCCGCGGUAAUACAGAGGUCUCAAGCGUUGUUCGGAAUCACUGGGCGUAAAGCGUGCGUAGACUGUUUCGUAAGUCGUGUGUGAAAGGCGCGGGCUCAACCCGCGGACGGCACAUGAUACUGCGAGACUAGAGUAAUGGAGGGGGAACCGGAAUUCGCGGUGUAGCAGUGAAAUGCGUAGAUAGCGAGAGGAACACUCGUGGCGAAGGCGGGUUCCUAGACAUUAACUGACGCUGAGGCACGAAGGCCAGGGGAGCGAAAGGGAUUAGAUACCCCAGUAGUC
RNAcentral lists this ribosomal RNA (446 nucleotides) under uncultured bacterium. RNAcentral's name for it is "partial 16S ribosomal RNA". It matches the Rfam family "Bacterial small subunit ribosomal RNA", at positions 338 to 795 of the family's 1533-position model. The record is from RNAcentral.